AUUGAAUUGAAGUUGAAAUGUACCUAUCACAUCAAUUUUCUAGUAUUAUUUCCUGUUGAAUCUCCGGCAAAACAAACACUAGUGAAUCUGCUCGGCCCUUCACUAGGAAGGUGAAUGGCGAACCAUAAGUUUUUGCUCAAGUCAGAUAUUUGUGAAGUGGCAUGGUUUAUGGGAACACAUAGAUGAGCUAAGUCUGUCUAUGAAGUGUUUCAUAAUAAAUGGCUGUCUUGUUGAACUUUUUUGACUGAAAUAUAAUUAUAUACACAAAUUUCUCUUAAUUUGAUAUAUAUAAAUUUGAAAGAAUAGUCGGAUAAUUUUCCUUGUAAUUUUUCUUUGUUAUCUCUCAUAUUGUCAGUCUAUUUUGAAUAAUAGCAGGAGCUCCUAAGUCCUGGCAACUUAAGCGUGGUAUGUUGAUGAACAUGUUUGGUGGACUUGGAACUGGUGGCUCGACUGCUUCCAACAGAUUUAAUUGUUACUGCUCUCUCUCUCUAUCCCCUCCUUCCCUCCUUCCGUGGGUGUUUGUGUGCUCGCAUGUCUAUCUGAUGUGUUGUUUCAUCAUGUUUUAUUGUAGUGCCCCCUGAAGAACUAUAUGUCACUUGACCUCGCUCCCUCCCUCUGUGUGCGCACGCGCACUUGGGUGUCUAUCUAAUGUGUUGUUUGGUCAUAUGUUUUAUUGCAGUGUCCCAUGAAGAACUAUACGCCACUCAACUAUCUCAGUUACAGGAAAUGGGCUUCUUUGAUACUCAAGAAAACAUCAGGGCACUAAUUGCCUCUGCUGGCAAUGUUCAUGCUGCGGUGGAACGACUGUUGGGAAUCCCUGGUCAAUAGAAGUUGGAUGUUGAUAUUGUUUUGUUUAUAUCACUACACGUACUCCGUUGGGAUUGCAUCUGGCACAUGUGGAUAUUAGGCAAAUAAAUAUUUUGAAGGGAAUAAAAACGACACUGAUUGUUGAAACAGGCAAUUCCUGUAGGUACUGGAUGUUGGUGAAUCGGAGUCAAAUGACAAUUUCGGAAGCUAAGUCGUAACUUAUACCAUUCGAAAGGCGCUCCAGCCCUUAUUUCCUUCACGGGAAAGAGAGCACAAAAAUCUCCAAGCAACAUGUUCAUACAAGAUUUAGAUUGUAUAUCUGGAAGUGGGAUCAAAUAUGAAUAAAUAAGUCUUGUUUCUGCAAUAGUUGAGAAAUUGUGAUGAAAUCAGAGUUGAUUUUUGUGUUGUUACAGUCAUUCUAUCUUGCUUUCCCUCAAUGAACUAACAUUGACUCGUGAAUCAAAACGUCUGUUUAGCUGCUUUUGAUUUUACGAGUUUGUUUUAAGUUGAAGAGUCAUGUUGGUCGUCAAAAUGUGAUAUGGCUUGAUGCGAGGACUGGACUCGUUUAGUUCAAGUUGACACCCUGGUUGAUUUUCAUUCAUAAUAUUGACCUUG
This 1422-nucleotide long non-coding RNA is filed under the name Olea europaea subsp. europaea. Lineage: Eukaryota; Viridiplantae; Streptophyta; Magnoliopsida; Lamiales; Oleaceae. The record is from RNAcentral.